UACAGAGGGGGCAAGCGUUGUUCGGAAUUACUGGGCGUAAAGGGCGCGUAGGCGGCCUUCUAAGUCGAACGUGAAAUCCCUGGGCUCAACCCAGGAACUGCGUCCGAUACUGGAAGGCUUGAAUCCGGGAGAGGGAUGCGGAAUUCCAGGUGUAGCGGUGAAAUGCGCAGAUAUCAGGAAGAACACCAAUGGCGAAAGCAGCUUUCUGGGACGGUACUGACGCUGAGACGCGAAAGCGUGGGGAGCGAACAGG
RNAcentral lists this ribosomal RNA (253 nucleotides) under uncultured bacterium. Its description in RNAcentral is "partial 16S ribosomal RNA". It matches the Rfam family "Bacterial small subunit ribosomal RNA", at positions 524 to 776 of the family's 1533-position model. The record is from RNAcentral.